This 254-nucleotide unclassified non-coding RNA is filed under the name soil metagenome. RNAcentral's name for it is "partial internal transcribed spacer 1". The record is from RNAcentral.
ACAAGCCCAUUGUGGGCAGUCCAUACCGGACAGGUCCCGUGCGCGAGAAGGACAGUGACGGCUGUCUGAGAAGAUUGCGUGGCGGAUGGCCGACAGGCAGUGGCGAGGCCACACACGCGGGCGACCGGCGACGGCGGAGGUGCCGGGGGAUAACGACAGGUGGAAUGAACGGGACGGGACGAGUCUGUUGUGGACGAGGCCGGCCUGAUGAACAGCAAGUGAAUGGCGGGGAUAAGAACCGUCAGAAGCGAGGA